This 429-nucleotide ribosomal RNA is filed under the name Bacteroidota bacterium. Its description in RNAcentral is "Bacteroidetes bacterium partial 16S ribosomal RNA". It matches the Rfam family "Bacterial small subunit ribosomal RNA", at positions 355 to 776 of the family's 1533-position model. Lineage: Bacteria; Pseudomonadati; Bacteroidota. The record is from RNAcentral.
UGGGGAAUCUUCCGCAAUGGACGAAAGUCUGACGGAGCAACGCCGCGUGAGUGAUGACGGUCUUCGGAUUGUAAAGCUCUGUUAAUCGGGACGAAUGGUUUGUGUGCAAAUAGUGCAUAGACAUGACGGUACCGGAAUAGAAAGCCACGGCUAACUACGUGCCAGCAGCCGCGGUAAUACGUAGGUGGCAAGCGUUGUCCGGAAUUAUUGGGCGUAAAGCGCGCGCAGGCGGACUAGCCAGUCAGUCUUAAAAGUUCGGGGCUUAACCCCGUGAUGGGAUUGAAACUACUAGUCUAGAGUAUCGGAGAGGAAAGUGGAAUUCCUAGUGUAGCGGUGAAAUGCGUAGAUAUUAGGAAGAACACUAGUGGCGAAGGCGACUUUCUGGACGAACACUGACGCUGAGGCGCGAAAGCCAGGGGAGCGAACGGG